Molecule: transfer RNA, 76 nt
Filed under: Agrobacterium salinitolerans
Lineage: Bacteria; Pseudomonadati; Pseudomonadota; Alphaproteobacteria; Hyphomicrobiales; Rhizobiaceae
Description: tRNA-Ala
Rfam family: tRNA
About the family: Transfer RNA (tRNA) molecules are approximately 80 nucleotides in length. Their secondary structure includes four short double-helical elements and three loops (D, anti-codon, and T loops).
Source: RNAcentral
GGGGCUGUAGCUCAGUUGGGAGAGCACUUGCCUUGCAAGCAGGGGGUCGCCAGUUCAAAUCUGGUCAGCUCCACCA